This 732-nucleotide ribosomal RNA is filed under the name uncultured bacterium. RNAcentral describes it as "bacterial SSU rRNA". It matches the Rfam family "Bacterial small subunit ribosomal RNA", at positions 28 to 776 of the family's 1533-position model. The record is from RNAcentral.
GAUGAACGCUGACAGAAUGCUUAACACAUGCAAGUCUACUUGAAGCUAACUUCGGUUAGUGGAGGGUGGCGGACGGGUGAGUAACGCGUAAAGAACUUGCCUCACAGAUUGGGACAACAUCUGGAAACGGAUGCUAAUACCGGAUAUUAUGAUUCUUCUGCAUGGAAGGAACAUGAAAGCUAUAUGCGCUGUGAGAGAGCUUUGCGUCCCAUUAGCUAGUUGGAGAGGUAACGGCUCACCAAGGCGAUGAUGGGUAGCCGGCCUGAGAGGGUGAACGGCCACAAGGGGACUGAGACACGGCCCUUACUCCUACGGGAGGCAGCAGUGGGGAAUAUUGGACAAUGGACCAAAAGUCUGAUCCAGCAAUUCUGUGUGCACGAUGAAGUUUUUCGGAAUGUAAAGUGCUUUCAGUUGGGAAGAAGCAAGUGACGGUACCAACAGAAGAAGCGACGGCUAAAUACGUGCCAGCAGCCGCGGUAAUACGUAUGUCGCAAGCGUUAUCCGGAUUUAUUGGGCGUAAAGCGCGUCUAGGCGGCUAGAUAAGUCUGAUGUGAAAAUGCGGGGCUCAACUCCGUAUUGCGUUGGAAACUGUAUAGCUAGAGUACUGGAGAGGUAAGCGGAACUACAAGUGUAGAGGUGAAAUUCGUAGAUAUUUGUAGGAAUGCCGAUGGGGAAGCCAGCUUACUGGACAGAUACUGACGCUAAAGCGCGAAAGCAUGGGUAGCAAACAGG